GCUUCCUUGGCUCAGCUGGUUAGAGCGCUGGUCUCAUAUGCCUAUGAGGUUGCACAUGCAAUCGUAAUCCAGAGGUCGCCAGUUCGAUCCUGGCAGGGAGCA
Molecule: transfer RNA, 102 nt
Filed under: Coniophora puteana RWD-64-598 SS2
Lineage: Eukaryota; Fungi; Basidiomycota; Agaricomycetes; Boletales; Coniophoraceae
Rfam family: tRNA
About the family: Transfer RNA (tRNA) molecules are approximately 80 nucleotides in length. Their secondary structure includes four short double-helical elements and three loops (D, anti-codon, and T loops).
Source: Rfam by way of RNAcentral